CCGAAGGGAGCGUGUAACACAGGUGCUGCAUGGCUGUCGUAGGCGGGUCGUGAGAUGUUGGGUUAAGUCCCGCAACGAGCGCAACCCUUGCCAUUAGUUGCCAUCAUUAAGUUGGGCACUCUAAUGGGACUGCCGGUGACAAACCGGAGGAAGGUGGGGAUGACGUCAAGUCCUCAUGGCCCUUAUGACCAGGGCUUCACACGUCAUACAAUGGUCGGUACAGAGGGUCGCGAAGCCGCGAGGUGGAGCCAAUCUCAUAAAACCGAUCGUAGUCCGGAUCGCACUCUGCAACUCGAGUGCGUGAAGUCGGAAUCGCUAGUAAUCGCAGAUCAGCAUGCUGCGGUGAAUACGUUCCCGGGUCUUGUACACACCG
This 373-nucleotide ribosomal RNA is filed under the name Chromobacterium sp. Expt1_P2_D12. Its description in RNAcentral is "bacterial SSU rRNA". It matches the Rfam family "Bacterial small subunit ribosomal RNA", at positions 1017 to 1392 of the family's 1533-position model. The record is from RNAcentral. RNAcentral also lists the same sequence under 1 other name. Lineage: Bacteria; Pseudomonadati; Pseudomonadota; Betaproteobacteria; Neisseriales; Chromobacteriaceae.